RNAcentral lists this ribosomal RNA (462 nucleotides) under uncultured bacterium. Its description in RNAcentral is "bacterial SSU rRNA". It matches the Rfam family "Bacterial small subunit ribosomal RNA", at positions 29 to 533 of the family's 1533-position model. The record is from RNAcentral.
AACGAACGCUGGCGGCAGGCCUAACACAUGCAAGUCGAACGCCCUAGUAAUAGGGAGUGGCAGACGGGUGAGUAACACGUGGGAACCUUCCCUAUAGUAUGGAAUAGCCCAGGGAAACUUGGAGUAAUACCGUAUACGCCCGAGAGGGGAAAGGAUUUAUCGCUAUAGGAUGGGCCCGCGUAGGAUUAGCUAGUUGGUGAGGUAAUGGCUCACCAAGGCGACGAUCCUUAGCUGGUCUGAGAGGACGACCAGCCACACUGGGACUGAGACACGGCCCAGACUCCUACGGGAGGCAGCAGUGGGGGAAUAUUGGACAAUGGGCGCAAGCCUGAUCCAGCCAUGCCGACGUGAGUGAUGAAGGCCUUAGGGUUGUAAAGCUCUUUUGCCGGGGACGAUAAUGACGGUACCCGGAGAAUAAGUCCCGGCUAACUUCGUGCCAGCAGCCGCGGUAAUGUACAGUGU